Zea mays is the source of this 1757-nucleotide long non-coding RNA. RefSeq lists it as uncharacterized. The record is from RefSeq and is a predicted model, not a curated record. The transcript has 4 exons. NCBI's taxonomy places the organism in Eukaryota, Viridiplantae, Streptophyta, Magnoliopsida, Poales, Poaceae.
AGUUGGUUCCUAUCCUCCAGAGAAAAGGAUCAAACUAAAGAUGGACAGCUAUAGAACAGAAUACUUUCCUCCACAAGCUACCACAGGUGCAGAGCCAAGCAGUGAACAACGUCGGCUAGAGAGUGAAUUUUAGUAGCUAGAAGCAUGAAUUUUGUGUGUUCAUUAGACAAGCUCUUUUCUUUCUAUUUGAAGCUGAUGUGUCUUAUGUUUUAUUACAUCAUUGUUUUGGGUCAUUGAAUUAACUUGCCACCUUUUAAAGCAGACGUAUAAUGUAUUCCUCAGUUGUGUUUGUGUUUGGAGACAUGGAAAGGUGAUAAGAAUUUCCAUUAACUCUUCUGAGCUUCUGUCAGGAGGAUGGGCUUCUGCAUACUGCCUGUGGAACUCCAAACUAUGUAGCGCCUGAGGUGCUCGCUGAUAAAGGCUAUGAUGGUAUGGCUGCAGAUGUAUGGUCCUGUGGCAUAAUCUUGUUUGUUCUUAUGGCUGGAUACUUACCCUUUGAUGAUGCCAAUCUGAUGAGACUGUACAAACUGAUCUGCCAUGCAACUUUUUCUUACCCACCAUGGUUUUCUUUUGGAGCAAGGAAGUUUAUUAAGCGCAUUCUCGAUCCUAACCCUGAUACCAGGAUAAAAAUUGCAGAAUUUUUGGAAGAUGAAUGGUUCAAAAAAGGCUAUAAACCACCACAUUUUGAACAAGGCGAAGAUGUUAACCUUGACGACGUUGAUGCUGCACUCAUUGAUUCAGAGGUAUUAUAUAGACCAAAUGUUCAUUUUGAAUCUACGACUAUCUUGAAAAUCUCCCUAGAAAUAUUACGUGCUUUAAAAGCAUUUUUACAUUCUAUUUUAUGUUCACAUUAUCAUUCAUGAGGCAACUUGUUUACUGCAACCGCCAUCACUUGCAGGGCUGGAAAUCUGGUGCUGUAACUACUUUAGGCCAAGGUGGUAGCGACUUGAUUACUACAACCAUUGGUAAAGCCUUGGGACCGAGAGAAAUUUAUGUCUAUGUUUAGUCUGAAUAGAUAUUUAAUAAACCAUAUUUUUCUUUCUGAGGAAAAAAGUUGAGACAACAGUUGAUGCUAAUCACUAAGCUAGCAUGUGCAUUUCAUGAAAAUCGUUGCUUAUCCCCAUACAUUGCCUAAUUGGUCUGAAAGCAUACUGUGCUUGUGAUAGGUAUGGAUCGACGAGAUGGGUUGCUUGUCCCCAUACAUAUUUUUUCUUUUGUUUUGUCACUAAUGAAUCUUUGUACAAAUUAUAUUUUAAAUGCUCAAGAAAAGAGUUCUGGAACUAAACAACGGUACAGGAUAUUCAUCCUUAUUACACGUGUAUUUUGAGCAGGCUGCUUCUCAGUGAAUAAACGAAUCUUUCAGUUGCAUACUUCUCAAAAACGAAAGAUCAUGUUCAGUAGAUAAACAUAUGUUCCCUUUUUACCUUUCAAAGCUAUAUUUAUUGUUGCUUGGCAUUUGCUUUACUAACCAUCAUGAAUUGAACAUAUAGCUCAUGAUGUCAGUCUCCUGAACAGAAGCGAGAAAUUUAGGAUCGUUAUUAUGGACUGUUCACUUUAAUGCAGGUUUUGCAUCCACAAUCAAUGAGACCUGAUAGAGAAGGUGAUAUUCCAGUUAGGGUUAAGAAUUCAUACAACCCUAAAGCUCCAGGAACCCUAUUUGCUACUGCCGAGCAAUGUAGUGCUGCUGUAACACUGAGGAUGUUGUACUAACAUGACAUCAUAUUAAAAAGAUUUUGAGAGCAAUAUUUCUCGGCCUU